AAAGUUUCUUUUCUCUUUGUUUUUUUUGUUGUUUUUUUUUUGACUUGUAACACAUUUCUAAAUACAAAAUAAGAAAUACAAAAACAAAAGACUAAGCAAACUUAACUAGACUAUUACAAACUCUAACAUCACCUAAAAGACUGAAUACUAUUAUACAUGACUAGAAAGUAAAACAUGAACAAUUGACUCAAAAACAUAAAAUGGCUCCUCGAUCAACUUCUGAAUGCGGUGAUCCUUGGGUAUGUGUCAUGCCCAAACUCCAGUAAGUAAAUCCACACCUGUACAAGAAAACUUAAACCAACACUAUGUGAGACAAUAACAUUCACUACCUGACACAUGCAAGACAUGGUUGUGACUAUUGUUUUCUAAAAUUAACCUAUGUGGCUAAAUGUUAAAAUGCAAGAUUUGGCUAAGACCCUGCGAAGCCAAGAACCUAAACUCACUAGGAAGACCGGACCCUAUGUGGGUUGCCUAGGUAUCACGCCCCGAAAGAAGAGAAUCAGGUAUGCGAAGUUCGAGCAGAUCGGAUAAGGGCGAGAAUUAAAAAAACAACUAAUUUAGUGAAAACAUAUUUUUUUUGUCUCUUGUGUGAAAAAUGAUGAAACAUGUAAAAUCUUUUUGAAUUUUCUUUUUCCUCUUUUUUUUUUAUUUUUGAUUUUCGAAAAAUGAUGAAAAAGUGCAAAAUCUUUUUUUUUUGAAUUUUCCAUUUUUUGUCUUUUCUUAAUAAAAACGUGACAGAAAACAUAACUGGGCCAUACUUGUUUUAUUUUCACACUUCACCCUCUUUUUUUCUUAUUUUUUUUUUCAUUUGCCCUAAACUAUCAUUGGUCCGCCAAAUGACCUUUUUACUCUUGAAGAUUGCAACAUGUAGCACAUAGGAUGCAUCGAGAUGGUCUGUUAUUUUUUGGGUACACCUGUCCUAGACAGACCCAACCCCUGUGUUGAGUCUCCAAAGUCAAAUGCACGUGAUGCAAACAAACAUUCCUACUAGGGAUCCGACAUGAGGCUGAAUUAUUCUAGGUUCAAAACCUAGGUAUUUGUUCUAGACUUGUGUACCCGAGCGGACAACUCGAGCCGAGGAGGGGGCUACGUAUCGGGAACCAAAAGGCCAUCCGGCUUAGUAACUUGUCCGAGCCUCUUUCUUAUUUCAAGAUAUGACACUAACAGAUAGAGAGUCUCGACCAGCAAGCACAUCCCCGGAGAUGAGAAGAGAGGGUUUCGUAGCAGUUUAUAUACAGUUCCAGAUAAUAUCAAAGCGGUAAAAGCAUCACUUAGCACAUUAGACCCAAACAUAUAAUAAAAUCAGAUAAUAGAUAAAGCGAAAUAUAACAAUUCAUCUAAGCUCGAAUUCUGAACCCUGAACCAGAGAUUCUGGGUACUUCUCCCCAACAAAGUCGCCAAAGCUGUCACACCUCCUUUUUACGCUACACCCCCGGAAGGGGCAUAAGGGGAUCUUUUCCAAUUUAAAUGACAAUCGAAACGGGAUUUAUUAUUAAAAGAUUCAGAGUCACCACUUGAGAGAUUUAUGGUGUCCCAAGUCACCGGUUCCAAUCCCGAAUCGAGGAAAAGAUUGACUCUGUUUAACAGUCUGCAAACUAGAAAUCCAAGUAAGGAAUUCUGUUAACCCGAGAGAAGAAGUUAGGCAUUCCCGAGUUCUGUGGUUCUAGCACGGUCACUCAACUAUCAUAUUCGGCUUAGUUGUUCGAUUUUAAGUACUUUUGAACCUAUGUGCAAAUUUUAACUUAAUCGCUUUAUUAAUUAUUUUAUUUUAGGAGGAUUUCAACGUCAUUAAAAACAUGUCUUGAACCACGUCACAUAAAUACACCCGCGGUCCACGACACAUUUUAUUUAACGUUGUUGAGAUUUAGAUUUGGGUCACAUAAAUGUGCACCCGAGUUUAGGAAGGUAUGUUAUUAAAAUAAUGCACCUAAAGCAACUACGCAUUAGCAACUUUGCGAGGGCCAUGAAUGAUUAAAUUGUGGAUGACACACCUUGGACUAUAUGAACAAAAAUUAAUUUAGCAGCCUAUUAAUCUAUGUCUUUUGAAAUUCUCUGUCAUGGUUGUAUAAUAAUGACUGCUGUCAGUAAAUAUAAAUUAAUUCAAAAAAUAUAUCUUUGACCUCAACCAUGACACUCUUCCAACCCCAAGGCUGUGCGCAAAUUGGACUGUUGCGAACUACAACUUAAAAGGCAAAUGACAAAUAGAAAAUUCGUUUGCCUCCCUAUGGUUGUGCAUAUGAUAAAUGACAAGAGUAGAUUUGGUUUCUUGGAUAUCAAAUGCAAGAUACAAAAGAAGGGACAAUGUAGAAACUAACACAUAAUAUUCUCCAUCAUUAAAUAAGAGAACCAACCAACACAUUCACGACCAUUUUUUUCUACUAUGUAUAUAUUGAGUAUAUAUGCACCUUUUAAAUUAAGGCAACAGUUGAUUAAAACAACACAAUAACAAAUCUGUAACACAUGAAACCUAAUUAACCAAACGAAUUUGUAAACCUGCUAAUUCAACUCAUACAAACGGGCAAAUUGCAACAAUACGAAUACAUAGACCACAUCUAAAGGAAACAAGAUAAUAUGACAAAUAAUGAAGACAAACAACUACGUAAACUUUAGAUGUGAUUCAGCAAUUAAACAAACAAACAUCACAAAUGAAAGGGCCAAGAUAUUAGUAUCACGUGAUCAUAAAACUAGAACGAAGGAAAUCGAACAAAACAAUUCAUACACCCACGACGCAAGAUCUGAAAAUCGAAAGAUGAGCAAAGUUAGAAUAUGACCUCUUAAUAAAAAAUUCUUUAUUUUCAACAUCAAAGAAACUCCAUUGAAAAGCCCGAUUUUGAACCGCGAGCGGAACUAACGAACGGACGAGCUCGUCGAACCCGAACUUGAACCGGCGACUGGACUAAACUUCGAACCUCAGUUUCUACUACCUACACUAUUUUUCCGUUACUCAAUCUGUUGUUUAUUUUUCUGUGAUAGGUGUGUGUGUGUGUGUGUGUUACUCGACUCUUGUAGUGAGGACGACAGGUGAGGGUGAUGUACUCGAUCUAGACUAAAGAGGGAAUUUCGCGGCUGUUUUGUAUGGAGGAGAUGAGUCGCGUGUGAAGUGAAGCCUCUCCGGAGUUAUGGUGAGGAAGACGGGUCUGCUUUUAGUUAGCAGCUAGGAUUCUUUAGCAUUUUGUUUUGGAUGGGAAGAUGGAGUUAUAGGGAGGUGGGGGUCUCUGUUUUUGGUUCUUUGUUGCUGAAGAAAAUGAACAGGCGAGGAGGGGAGUCGGAGAAGACGAUCCGAGGGGGGGGGGGGGUCUGUAUUUGCUGCGCAACUUUGUGUCCUUUUUUUUCCAG
This 3336-nucleotide long non-coding RNA is filed under the name Nicotiana tabacum (common tobacco). RNAcentral's name for it is "long non-coding RNA (NTAB_LNC004931)". Lineage: Eukaryota; Viridiplantae; Streptophyta; Magnoliopsida; Solanales; Solanaceae. The record is from RNAcentral.